GAUCAUGGCUCAGGAUGAACGCUAGCUACAGGCUUAACACAUGCAAGUCGAGGGGCAGCGGGAAGUCAGCUUGCUGACUUUGCCGGCGACCGGCGCACGGGUGAGUAACACGUAUCCAACCUCCCGCAUACUCGGGAAUAGCCUUUCGAAAGAAAGAUUAAUGCCCGAUGGUUUCAAGGGAUUGCAUGGUAUCUUGAAUAAAGAUUUAUCGGUGUACGAUGGGGAUGCGUUCCAUUAGG
RNAcentral lists this ribosomal RNA (239 nucleotides) under uncultured bacterium. RNAcentral describes it as "partial 16S ribosomal RNA". It matches the Rfam family "Bacterial small subunit ribosomal RNA", at positions 15 to 245 of the family's 1533-position model. The record is from RNAcentral.